Molecule: ribosomal RNA, 253 nt
Filed under: uncultured bacterium
Lineage: Bacteria
Description: partial 16S ribosomal RNA
Rfam family: Bacterial small subunit ribosomal RNA
Source: RNAcentral
UACGUAGGGUGCGAGCGUUAAUCGGAAUUACUGGGCGUAAAGCGUGCGCCGGCGGUCUUGUAAGACAGGUGUGAAAUCCCCGGGCUUAACCUGGGAACUGCACUUGUGACUGCAGGGCUGGAGUGCGGCAGAGGGGGAUGGAAUUCCGCGUGUAGCAGUGAAAUGCGUAGAUAUGCGGAGGAACACCGAUGGCGAAGGCAAUCCCCUGGGCCUGCACUGACGCUCAUGCACGAAAGCGUGGGGAGCAAACAGG